AACGCGAAGAACCUUACCCAGGCUCGAAAUGUAGAGGGCGACACCAGAGAUGGUGUUUUCCGUAAGGACUUCUAUAUAGGUGCUGCAUGGCUGUCGUCAGCUCGUGCCGUGAGGUGUUGGGUUAAGUCCCGCAACGAGCGCAACCCUUAUCAUUAGUUGCCAACACGCGAGGUGGGGACUCUAAUGAGACUGCCUAGGUUAACUAGGAGGAAGGUGAGGAUGACGUCAAGUCCGCAUGGCCCUUAUGUCUGGGGCUACACACGUGCUACAAUGGUCGGUACAGAAGGCUGCGAAGUCGCAAGAUGGAGCAAAUCCGUAAAGCCGAUCUCAGUUCGGAUUGUAGUCUGCAACUCGGCUACAUGAAGUUGGAAUUGCUAGUAAUGACGUGUCAGCAACAACGUCGUGAAUACGUUCCCGGGCCUUGUACACACCGUACGUC
RNAcentral lists this ribosomal RNA (439 nucleotides) under uncultured bacterium. RNAcentral describes it as "bacterial SSU rRNA". It matches the Rfam family "Bacterial small subunit ribosomal RNA", at positions 958 to 1398 of the family's 1533-position model. The record is from RNAcentral.